RNAcentral lists this ribosomal RNA (227 nucleotides) under uncultured Veillonellaceae bacterium. RNAcentral describes it as "partial 16S ribosomal RNA". It matches the Rfam family "Bacterial small subunit ribosomal RNA", at positions 122 to 334 of the family's 1533-position model. Lineage: Bacteria; Bacillati; Bacillota; Negativicutes; Veillonellales; Veillonellaceae. The record is from RNAcentral.
CAACCUGCCCUUCAGAGGGGACAACAGUUGGAAACGACUGCUAAUACCGCAUACGAUUUGACCUCGGCAUCGAGGAUAGAUGAAAGGUGGCCUCUAUUUAUAAGCUAUCACUGAAGGAGGGGAUUGCGUCUGAUUAGCUAGUUGGAGGGGUAACGGCCCACCAAGGCGAUGAUCAGUAGCCGGUCUGAGAGGAUGAACGGCCACAUUGGGACUGAGACACGGCCCAG